This 468-nucleotide ribosomal RNA is filed under the name uncultured bacterium. RNAcentral's name for it is "partial 16S ribosomal RNA". It matches the Rfam family "Bacterial small subunit ribosomal RNA", at positions 28 to 507 of the family's 1533-position model. The record is from RNAcentral.
GACGAACGCUGGCGGCGUGCCUAACACAUGCAAGUCGAACGGAAAGGCCCUGCUUUUGUGCGGUUCUCGAUUGGCGAACGCGGGAGUGACACGUGAGUAACCUGCCCUUGUCUUUCGGAUAACUUCAGGAAACUGGGGCUAAUACAGGAUAGGAGAUCCUGCUGCAUGGUGGGGGUUGGAAAGUUUCGGCUGUUGGGGAUGGACUCGCGGCUUAUGAGCUUGUUGGUUGGGUAGGUGCUUACCAAGCCUUUGACGGGUAGCCGGCCUGGGAGGGUGGCCGGCGACAAGGCGCCUGCGGGACGCACCAGACGGGAACGUGAGGCAGAAGUGGGGAGCCUGGCACAGCGGGCCGGCGCGUGUGGCGAAGACCCUCGGUUCGUGAAGCCCGGCUGUUGGUGAUAAACCGCUGUAGCCUGUGACGAAGCGGUAGUGACGGUAACGAGUGAAGAAGCACCGGCUAACUACGUG